GAAGAGUUUGAUCAUGGCUCAGAUUGAACGCUGGCGGCAGGCCUAACACAUGCAAGUCGAACGGUAACAGGAAGCAGCUUGCUGCUUUGCUGACGAGUGGCGGACGGGUGAGUAAUGUCUGGGAAACUGCCUGAUGGAGGGGGAUAACUACUGGAAACGGUGGCUAAUACCGCAUAACGUCGCAAGACCAAAGAGGGGGACCUUCGGGCCUCUUGCCAUCAGAUGUGCCCAGAUGGGAUUAGCUUGUUGGUGAGGUAACGGCUCACCAAGGCGACGAUCCCUAGCUGGUCUGAGAGGAUGACCAGCCACACUGGAACUGAGACACGGUCCAGACUCCUACGGGAGGCAGCAGUGGGGAAUAUUGCACAAUGGGCGCAAGCCUGAUGCAGCCAUGCCGCGUGUAUGAAGAAGGCCUUCGGGUUGUAAAGUACUUUCAGCGGGGAGGAAGGUGUUGUGGUUAAUAACCGCAGCAAUUGACGUUACCCGCAGAAGAAGCACCGGCUAACUCCGUGCCAGCAGCCGCGGUAAUACGGAGGGUGCAAGCGUUAAUCGGAAUUACUGGGCGUAAAGCGCACGCAGGCGGUCUGUCAAGUCGGAUGUGAAAUCCCCGGGCUCAACCUGGGAACUGCAUUCGAAACUGGCAGGCUUGAGUCUUGUAGAGGGGGGUAGAAUUCCAGGUGUAGCGGUG
This 688-nucleotide ribosomal RNA is filed under the name Salmonella enterica. RNAcentral describes it as "bacterial SSU rRNA". It matches the Rfam family "Bacterial small subunit ribosomal RNA", at positions 1 to 683 of the family's 1533-position model. Lineage: Bacteria; Pseudomonadati; Pseudomonadota; Gammaproteobacteria; Enterobacterales; Enterobacteriaceae. The record is from RNAcentral.